GUUGCUAUCUUAAAGAGAUACCGCAGCAAGAUAAUGGGGGAGCAGAUGGAUUUUGACACUCUCUUAAAAUUUAUCAACGAACUGAGUGGUCACAUCGACCUUGACGCAAUCCUCAGAGAUGCAGAAGCACUGUGUAUAUGUGCUGGUGAAAACGGGGCUGCCUGUAUACCUCCUGGAACUCCACCUUCAUUGCCUCUCGAGGAUCCCAUGGCAUAUCCUCAACUGGAUGAUGAUGUAUUGUAGAUGGCACAUGUAUAAAGAGACAUGCAAUAACGUAUAAUUAGUUUUCAGUGAUUUUUUGAUGUUUAAUAAGUACGCAUUGAUUUGAAUAGAUUGUGUGCUAUACAAGGAAUCUUCUACCUUAUCUUCAAUCUUGGGAGACACUUCCAAGUUCCAUGAUAUGUGGUCAAAGGAAUGUCUUUUCUGUAUGCUUUUGGUUUAGUGUUCUUACCGAUGGCUUUCCAUUUGAAUGUCUGCACUUGCACUGCAUACCAGGAAAUGUUCUGAUAUACUUUCAUAUUUUGAGCUAUUAACAUUCUUCUGAUUAUGCAUUUGCGAUGCAAAUGGACCAAGAGACCGGUGUUUCUCUUUGGUUGAAUAGUUAAUGCAUUUGAAGUCUUAUGCUUCUACUAAAGUGUUAACACUGGUCCAGGCAUUUAAUCCUUUAUUUUAGAAAUUGGAAAUAUCUAGUGCAGCUAGUCAAUGAAUAUCCAGAGAUACAACAUUCUUUUUCUUUUAACUGUCGCAUAGGUGCUGAGUUGCACAGGAACGUCAUAAAUGAGGUGUAUAUGCAUUGUUCCUUCCCUGUAGUCUUUUUCUUUUUUUGCUCCAAAUGACAUCCCGGUGACUUUUUCCAGCUUCUUUACGUUGGUGAAUUCUGGCAAUGAAAUAAAUUAUGUUCAGUUUAAUAGAAACCUAACAUUUAUUUGACUUUUAUCAUGCAGCUAGUGGAGUUGUUAGACACUCCAUUGCAUAACUAUUUUAUGCAGAAUGAUUGCUUGAAUUAUUUCUUCUGUUUCCGCUGGAUUCUUAUACAGUUUAAAAGGCAAGUAGACAGCUCCCUGUUUCUUAUUUACUGCGUGCAAUUUAUUGGUGUUGCAAAAUUGUUAUCUUUACAUUGACAUAAUGUGGAUUGUUUAACCAUAAUAUUUUCCCUGCCCCGUAAUAUGGUUUAGAUUGGUUGUCCAAACACUACCAUUCCGUUGCUUUAUUAAUAUUGCGACCAUAAGUAGUUACAAAGUUUGUAUGAAUUUCAAGAAAAUAACACUCUUUGGAGGAUCUUUAUAUCAUACUGAACUGCAUGAUAAAAGAUCACAGAGUUAAAAUGUCAUUUCAGAAUACUGCAUUUGUAGAACACAUAACUGUGUAGUAAUAAUAUGAUUUCAUAUAUCCUUCAUUUUGUCCUGCAGCUGAUUGCCUGAUGUUUCGCAGGGAAUUUGAAUAUGAGAAAACAAUGCGUUUGUGGGAGGUAUUAUGGACACAUUAUCUGAGUGAGCAUCUGCACCUUUACGUAUGUGUUGCUAUCUUAAAGAGAUACCGCAGCAAGAUAAUGGGGGAGCAGAUGGAUUUUGACACUCUCUUAAAAUUUAUCAACGAACUGAGUGGUCACAUCGACCUUGACGCAAUCCUCAGAGAUGCAGAAGCACUGUGUAUAUGUGCUGGUGAAAACGGGGCUGCCUGUAUACCUCCUGGAACUCCACCUUCAUUGCCUCUCGAGGAUCCCAUGGCAUAUCCUCAACUGGAUGAUGAUGUAUUGUAGAUGGCACAUGUAUAAAGAGACAUGCAAUAACGUAUAAUUAGUUUUCAGUGAUUUUUUGAUGUUUAAUAAGUACGCAUUGAUUUGAAUAGAUUGUGUGCUAUACAAGGAAUCUUCUAC
Molecule: long non-coding RNA, 1876 nt
Filed under: Olea europaea (common olive)
Lineage: Eukaryota; Viridiplantae; Streptophyta; Magnoliopsida; Lamiales; Oleaceae
Description: long non-coding RNA (OEUR_LNC014938)
Source: RNAcentral